RNAcentral lists this ribosomal RNA (460 nucleotides) under uncultured bacterium. RNAcentral describes it as "partial 16S ribosomal RNA". It matches the Rfam family "Bacterial small subunit ribosomal RNA", at positions 338 to 795 of the family's 1533-position model. The record is from RNAcentral.
CCUACGGGCGGCAGCAGUGAGGAAUAUUGGUCAAUGGGCGCGAGCCUGAACCAGCCAAGUAGCGUGAAGGAUGACUGCCCUACGGGUUGUAAACUUCUUUUAUAAAGGAAUAAAGUGAGGCACGUGUGCCUUUUUGUAUGUACUUUAUGAAUAAGGAUCGGCUAACUCCGUGCCAGCAGCCGCGGUAAUACGGAGGAUCCGAGCGUUAUCCGGAUUUAUUGGGUUUAAAGGGGGCGUAGAUGGGUUGUUAAGUCAGUGGUGAAAGUUUGGGGCUCAACCGUAAAAUUGCAAUUGAUACUGGCAGGCUUGAGUACAGGUGAGGUAGGCGGAAUUCGUGGUGUAGCGGUGAAAUGCUUAGAUAUCGCGAAGAACUCCGAUUGCGAAGGCAGCUUACUAAACUGCCACUGACAUUGAUGCACGAAAGUGUGGGUAUCAAACAGGAUUAGAUACCCUAGUAGUC